GGGACACGUGGUAUCCUGUCUGAAUAUGGGGGGACCAUCCUCCAAGGCUAAAUACUCCUGACUGACCGAUAGUGAACCAGUACCGUGAGGGAAAGGCGAAAAGAACCCCGGCGAGGGGAGUGAAAAAGAACCUGAAACCGUGUACGUACAAGCAGUGGGAGCACGCUUAGGCGUGUGACUGCGUACCUUUUGUAUAAUGGGUCAGCGACUUAUAUUCUGUAGCAAGGUUAACCGAAUAGGGGAGCCGAAGGGAAACCGAGUCUUAACUGGGCGUUAAGUUGCAGGGUAUAGACCCGAAACCCGGUGAUCUAGCCAUGGGCAGGUUGAAGGUUGGGUAACACUAACUGGAGGACCGAACCGACUAAUGUUGAAAAAUUAGCGGAUGACUUGUGGCUGGGGGUGAAAGGCCAAUCAAACCGGGAGAUAGCUGGUUCUCCCCGAAAGCUAUUUAGGUAGCGCCUCGUGAAUUCAUCUCCGGGGGUAGAGCACUGUUUCGGCAAGGGGGUCAUCCCGACUUACCAACCCGAUGCAAACUGCGAAUACCGGAGAAUGUUAUCACGGGAGACACACGGCGGGUGCUAACGUCCGUCGUGAAGAGGGAAACAACCCAGACCGCCAGCUAAGGUCCCAAAGUCAUGGUUAAGUGGGAAACGAUGUGGGAAGGCCCAGACAGCCAGGAUGUUGGCUUAGAAGCAGCCAUCAUUUAAAGAAAGCGUAAUAGCUCACUGGUCGAGUCGGCCUGCGCGGAAGAUGUAACGGGGCUAAACCAUGCACCGAAGCUGCGGCAGCGACGCUUAUGCGUUGUUGGGUAGGGGAGCGUUCUGUAAGCCUGUGAAGGUGUGCUGUGAGGCAUGCUGGAGGUAUCAGAAGUGCGAAUGCUGACAUAAGUAACGAUAAAGCGGGUGAAAAGCCCGCUCGCCGGAAGACCAAGGGUUCCUGUCCAACGUUAAUCGGGGCAGGGUGAGUCGACCCCUAAGGCGAGGCCGAAAGGCGUAGUCGAUGGGAAACAGGUUAAUAUUCCUGUACUUGGUGUUACUGCGAAGGGGGGACGGAGAAGGCUAUGUUGGCCGGGCGACGGUUGUCCCGGUUUAAGCGUGUAGGCUGGUUUUCCAGGCAAAUCCGGAAAAUCAAGGCUGAGGCGUGAUGACGAGGCACUACGGUGCUGAAGCAACAAAUGCCCUGCUUCCAGGAAAAGCCUCUAAGCAUCAGGUAACAUCAAAUCGUACCCCAAACCGACACAGG
RNAcentral lists this ribosomal RNA (1242 nucleotides) under Escherichia coli. Its description in RNAcentral is "partial 23S ribosomal RNA". It matches the Rfam family "Bacterial large subunit ribosomal RNA", at positions 419 to 1663 of the family's 2925-position model. RNAcentral also lists the same sequence under 1 other name. Lineage: Bacteria; Pseudomonadati; Pseudomonadota; Gammaproteobacteria; Enterobacterales; Enterobacteriaceae. The record is from RNAcentral.